This 325-nucleotide unclassified non-coding RNA is filed under the name uncultured fungus. RNAcentral's name for it is "partial contains small subunit ribosomal RNA, internal transcribed spacer 1, and 5.8S ribosomal RNA". The stretch from base 1 to 73 matches the Rfam family "Eukaryotic small subunit ribosomal RNA", at positions 1759 to 1831 of the family's 1831-position model. The record is from RNAcentral. Lineage: Eukaryota; Fungi.
GCAAACUUGGUCAUUUAGAGGAAGUAAAAGUCGUAACAAGGUUUCCGUAGGUGAACCUGCGGAAGGAUCAUUAACGAAUUCGAUGCCAAAGCGCCCUUCGGGCUGAUGCUGGCUCCUCGGAGCGCGUGCACGCCUAGGGCGCCUUCAAUUCGCCUCCUCCUCCCUUGUGCACUCCAUGUAGUCCGCCCCCUCCCGGGCGCCUACGAUUUUCGUCUCCGUACGCACCCUGAUCGCAUGUGUGAGCGCAGCCUUUGAAUGUGAUAACACACGAAACACAACUUUCAACAACGGAUCUCUUGGCUCUCGCAUCGAUGAAGAACGCAGC